AACGAACGCUGGCGGCAUGCCUAACACAUGCAAGUCGAACGAAGCCUUCGGGCUUAGUGGCGCACGGGUGCGUAACACGUGGGAAUCUGCCCUUUGGUUCGGAAUAACAGUUAGAAAUGACUGCUAAUACCGGAUAAUGACGUAAGUCCAAAGAUUUAUCGCCGAAGGAUGAGCCCGCGUAGGAUUAGGUAGUUGGUGGGGUAAUGGCCCACCAAGCCGACGAUCCUUAGCUGGUCUGAGAGGAUGAUCAGCCACACUGGGACUGAGACACGGCCCAGACUCCUACGGGAGGCAGCAGUGGGGAAUUUUGGACAAUGGGCGCAAGCCUGAUCCAGCAAUGCCGCGUGCAGGAAGAAGGCCUUCGGUUGUAACUGCUUUGUCUAGGGAAGAAAGUACUUCUGGGCUAAUACCCCGGGACGGAUGACGGUACCUGAAGAAUAAGCACCG
Molecule: ribosomal RNA, 447 nt
Filed under: uncultured bacterium
Lineage: Bacteria
Description: bacterial SSU rRNA
Rfam family: Bacterial small subunit ribosomal RNA
Source: RNAcentral